Molecule: ribosomal RNA, 1550 nt
Filed under: Klebsiella pneumoniae
Lineage: Bacteria; Pseudomonadati; Pseudomonadota; Gammaproteobacteria; Enterobacterales; Enterobacteriaceae
Description: bacterial SSU rRNA
Rfam family: Bacterial small subunit ribosomal RNA
Source: RNAcentral
AAAUUGAAGAGUUUGAUCAUGGCUCAGAUUGAACGCUGGCGGCAGGCCUAACACAUGCAAGUCGAGCGGUAGCACAGAGAGCUUGCUCUCGGGUGACGAGCGGCGGACGGGUGAGUAAUGUCUGGGAAACUGCCUGAUGGAGGGGGAUAACUACUGGAAACGGUAGCUAAUACCGCAUAAUGUCGCAAGACCAAAGUGGGGGACCUUCGGGCCUCAUGCCAUCAGAUGUGCCCAGAUGGGAUUAGCUAGUAGGUGGGGUAACGGCUCACCUAGGCGACGAUCCCUAGCUGGUCUGAGAGGAUGACCAGCCACACUGGAACUGAGACACGGUCCAGAAUCCUCCGGGGGGCAGCAGUGGGGAAUAUUGCACAAUGGGCGCAAGCCUGAUGCAGCCAUGCCGCGUGUGUGAAGAAGGCCUUCGGGUUGUAAAGCACUUUCAGCGGGGAGGAAGGCGUUAAGGUUAAUAACCUUGGCGAUUGACGUUACCCGCAGAAGAAGCACCGGCUAACUCCGUGCCAGCAGCCGCGGUAAUACGGAGGGUGCAAGCGUUAAUCGGAAUUACUGGGCGUAAAGCGCACGCAGGCGGUCUGUCAAGUCGGAUGUGAAAUCCCCGGGCUCAACCUGGGAACUGCAUUCGAAACUGGCAGGCUAGAGUCUUGUAGAGGGGGGUAGAAUUCCAGGUGUAGCGGUGAAAUGCGUAGAGAUCUGGAGGAAUACCGGUGGCGAAGGCGGCCCCCUGGACAAAGACUGACGCUCAGGUGCGAAAGCGUGGGGAGCAAACAGGAUUAGAUACCCUGGUAGUCCACGCCGUAAACGAUGUCGAUUUGGAGGUUGUGCCCUUGAGGCGUGGCUUCCGGAGCUAACGCGUUAAAUCGACCGCCUGGGGAGUACGGCCGCAAGGUUAAAACUCAAAUGAAUUGACGGGGGCCCGCACAAGCGGUGGAGCAUGUGGUUUAAUUCGAUGCAACGCGAAGAACCUUACCUGGUCUUGACAUCCACAGAACUUUCCAGAGAUGGAUUGGUGCCUUCGGGAACUGUGAGACAGGUGCUGCAUGGCUGUCGUCAGCUCGUGUUGUGAAAUGUUGGGUUAAGUCCCGCAACGAGCGCAACCCUUAUCCUUUGUUGCCAGCGGUUCGGCCGGGAACUCAAAGGAGACUGCCAGUGAUAAACUGGAGGAAGGUGGGGAUGACGUCAAGUCAUCAUGGCCCUUACGACCAGGGCUACACACGUGCUACAAUGGCAUAUACAAAGAGAAGCGACCUCGCGAGAGCAAGCGGACCUCAUAAAGUAUGUCGUAGUCCGGAUUGGAGUCUGCAACUCGACUCCAUGAAGUCGGAAUCGCUAGUAAUCGUAGAUCAGAAUGCUACGGUGAAUACGUUCCCGGGCCUUGUACACACCGCCCGUCACACCAUGGGAGUGGGUUGCAAAAGAAGUAGGUAGCUUAACCUUCGGGAGGGCGCUUACCACUUUGUGAUUCAUGACUGGGGUGAAGUCGUAACAAGGUAACCGUAGGGGAACCUGCGGUUGGAUCACCUCCUUACCUUAAAGAA